GCAAAUCAACAAACUUUUAGACCUCGCCAAUUCCGCCAGCCAUUUCUUCGCCGGCUUUUUCCCCCUCAACAUCUCCGGUGAUGUCACGUUAUCUAUCAAAUAGGGGAGGAACUCAAGUACAAAAGGUUCGUUUCGAUGAAGAAGCGAUUCCCGACGAGGACGAAGUAGGUGGGACUUUGAAAUUGAGGCCCUCCGAUAGCAACAUCACCGAAGAUCAAGAGCCUUUUAUGGGAGUUAAAGUCCGUAGAAAAGCUUCUAUUCAUAGGGAUUAUCUCGGUGAUUAUGUCGAUGUGCCUUCUCGACCUUAUCUCAUGAAGAUUCUCGAAAAACAAGGUGACAAAAAGGUUCUGUUUGCAGACACAGUUCUGAAGUUUACAAGCACAGGGAAGAUGAAGCGGCGCAUUCUCCUUGUAACUGAUUUCGCCAUUUACAUUGUAGACCCAGAAAGUGGUGCACUUAAACGGCGGAUUGCCCUGGCAGCUGUUGAGAAGCUGUGUCUGAGUGAAUUAAGUGAUAAUUUUCUUGCAAUUAUCAUUCCGACUGAGUACGAUCUGUUCAUGGCCACUACUCGGAAAACAGAAAUAGUAACAAUCUUAGUAGAUGCUACCAAGAGUCAAUCUGACUAUGAACUCGAUGUUCUCUUCUCUAAUAGAUUUGAGUACAGUGCAACUUCUGAGCUUGUUAAAGAAGUUCAAUUUGAGCAAGUUGAAGCGGGUGUCAAAACAAAAAUCUCACGCAAAUGAACUACCCUUAGCGUGUAAUGGUCUAAGAACGCAAACUGCUCACUACCAUGCCUGCAAACGUGUCUUGCUAGUUGAAAGGGGAACCGUUUUGCACUUCAUCAUACAAAUAAACGGUGUGUCAUUCCAUGUAGAAAUGUGAUCAAUAUUUACUUAUCAAAGAACAGAAAAGGAAAAAAGCGACAGAAUGUAUUAUGAUGAGCUUGUUUCUUCACUUUAGCUCUAUGCCUGUCUAUGUUUUCUUAGCUUGUUGCUCUCCUCAUCUGGCUGCGUUGUGUAAUAUCGUACAUUAUCCUAUUUAUAAAAUUGAGAUUGUUUGGUGCCAAGUUUCUACACCUAAGGGUAGAUUGACUUUAACCAUUGUGGAUUUUG
This 1112-nucleotide unclassified non-coding RNA is filed under the name Hevea brasiliensis (rubber tree). Lineage: Eukaryota; Viridiplantae; Streptophyta; Magnoliopsida; Malpighiales; Euphorbiaceae. The record is from RNAcentral.